AUAUUGGUCAAUGGGCGGGAGCCUGAACCAGCCAAGUCGCGUGAGGGGAGACGGUCCUACUGAUUGUAAACCUCUUUUGCCGGGGAGCAACGGGGUCCUUGCGAGGGCCCGAUGAGAGUACCCGGAGAAAAAGCAUCGGCUAACUCCGUGCCAGCAGCCGCGGUAAUACGGAGGAUGCGAGCGUUAUCCGGAUUUAUUGGGUUCAAAGGGUGCGUAGGCGGGCUGUUAAGUCAGCGGUCAAAUGUCGGGGCUCAACCCCGGCCUGCCGUUGAAACUGGCGGCCUCGAGUGGGCGAGGAGUAUGCGGAAUGCGUGGUGUAGCGGUGGAAUGCAUAGAUAUCACGCAGAACUCCGAUUGCGAAGGCAGCAUACCGGCGCCCGACUGACGCUGAGGCACGAAAGCGUGGGUAUCGAACAGG
This 418-nucleotide ribosomal RNA is filed under the name uncultured bacterium. Its description in RNAcentral is "bacterial SSU rRNA". It matches the Rfam family "Bacterial small subunit ribosomal RNA", at positions 361 to 776 of the family's 1533-position model. The record is from RNAcentral.